AAAAUUCAGUUCCUUUCUUGCACUGGCUAUAUUUCAAAUGCUCAGUAACACAUACAGCUAGUGGUUCCUGCCUCGGACUGCACACAUAUAGACCAUAUCCAAUACCACAAAAAACUACAUAGGGGAAGUUCCUGUCGUGACUCAGCAGUUGCAAACCCAACUAGUAUCCACGAGGACAUAGGUUCAGCCCCUGGCCUUGCUCACUGGGUUAAGGAUCUGGCAUUGUAGUGUAGUUUGCAGAGACGGCUUGGAUCCUAUGUUGCUGUGGCUGUGGUAUAAGCUGGCAGCUGUAGCUCGGAUUCCACCCCUAGCCUGGGAAUUUCCAUACCCUGAGGAUGUGGCCCUAAAAAGACUAUCUAUAUCUAUAUCUAUGGCAGCGCUCUUCAGAGGCUAGUAAUAUGCCUGGAAGUACAUUUUCUGCUUUUGUCUGAGGUGGUCAUGAGGGGCUAGAAGGGCAGACUCUGGUCAGCUGAGUCUGGGAGUGGUGUAUUCUUUCUCUCUGCAAGGCAACUGGAGUCUGGGCACAAGCAGGCUGGCUAUUCUGGAGUCAUCAGUGUAACAGUCAAGGUCCAGAGGGGUGACCUAGGUGGGAAGAGGGGUUUCUGUACAUGCCCCACUUCCUCUCAAGUGGGGAUUCUCUCCUUCUAGAACCUAACAUAUCCAGCUGAUGCUCUUCCUUCAUGAUGCAAGUUCCAGCUCCAUGCAGCUGAUGACAAACAUGUCAGACUCCAGUUUACUGUCCUGUGAGGGGACCUGUCACCUUGGACAGAUACACAACUGUAAAAUGGGAGUUUUACCACCCACCUCAUGGGGGUAGAUGUGAGGGCUGAAUGAGACAAAGUACUUGCUUAGGUCUGUGUCUGGCUCUCAAAAACCAUCCUAACACCUAUUGUGUAGUGGCCUGGUCGUAGAAAGUCAGGCCAGGAGGGCAGGACUUCAUCUUGUUUUCCCUGCAUCAUCUUAGGCUAGAAGAGUGAGGGAUACAUAAUAGAAUAAGUUUGUGGAGGAGUUCCUGUUGUGGCGCAGCAGGAAUGAAUCCGACUAGGAACCAUAACGUUGUGGGUUCGAUCCCUGGCCUUGCUCAGUGG
This 1088-nucleotide long non-coding RNA is filed under the name Sus scrofa (pig). Its description in RNAcentral is "lncRNA (ENSSSCG00060078809.1)". The record is from RNAcentral. Lineage: Eukaryota; Metazoa; Chordata; Mammalia; Artiodactyla; Suidae.